Centrocercus urophasianus (Greater sage-grouse) is the source of this 5943-nucleotide long non-coding RNA. RefSeq lists it as uncharacterized. The transcript is spliced from 4 exons. NCBI's taxonomy places the organism in Eukaryota, Metazoa, Chordata, Aves, Galliformes, Phasianidae. The record is from RefSeq and is a predicted model, not a curated record.
AGAUCCCUCCUUCUGGUGUUUUGUGGUGAGCCCAACUAAGGGAGGCAGGGGCUGAAAACCUCACCUGUUUUGGACACCAUUGCCCAACAAAACGUGGAGUUUCAUCACAGGAGAAGUUUGAGAGCGCAUCUUCUCAUGAUCCUCCUUCGAGCACACAUCAGUUUGAAUGAAGUUUUCUAUUUGGACUGCUUACAACUCCAGCUGUAGAUUAUGCUCCAGCUGCAUCUACAUUACCAAGAUUUCCAUGCUGACCAAAAUUACAUGGUGGCUCUGGGUGCUUGUAUGGCUGUUUGGAGGCUGCAUAUCCAUCAGACAUUGUCUCUGGAUUUGGAUGGGGGGGAGAUGCAGCCUGAGAGAUGAUGUUGGACCAAGGCUUCAAGAAGGGUCUGGGAGCUCCUAUAAUGCAAUGCAGGAGCCUGACGACAGGGUUUGGUGAUCUGUAAAAUGAUUGUUUGUGUUGGGCAACUUCACAGUAUUCUAACACCUAUCCUAGGAGAUAGAAUCCUGUCUCCUAAAAGUGAAGAGUGGCAGAACUGAAGACCAAAUUUCUACUGCUUCUUCCCAGCACCCAUUUCAUCACCAGAGAAAACAACAGGAUAUUGGGCAGCUGGGACCAAAAGGAAGUUGGAAUGGACUCUUGUGAAAAUGCAAUAAAAAAAAAAAGAAAAGAAAAGAAAAAAAGUGGGGUAAGAAGGAGGAGAGGAAAAAAAAAUACAAAAGCACCAGGCUGACUCAGCACAUGUAAACAGAAACAUUCCCUGCACUUAUGUCAGAGGAAAAGGUUCCCAAAGCCGCCUGCAUACUGCACAUGUUCCUGUCUUCCCCCUCACUGAGGCAUUUGUAUAUACAUACAGUCUUUUUAAGUGGUGAUUUUCAGGUCACAGAAACCACUCUUCCUGAUGGGUGCAGGGAAGAGCUCAGUCUGCCCUGUUAACUCAGACUGUCCAAUCUGACACCUUGGAACAAGAAGCUAAAUAAAAACAUGGGCUGCCCUGCAAGAAAUUUGAGCACGCUUUGAGGGACUGAAGAGAAAGCAGAGCAGUCAGAGGCUGCCUGAUGUCCUCUCCUUGGGUAAGCUGUCCCUCGUAAAUUCUUUACUGUAGAGAGUAGCUGUAGACAUUUUUACAGUUCAUAAAUGUGAAACCAUUCUCUGUUUCCUAGCAAUAAAGAUAUCCUGUGGCAACGAUAAGCUAAUUACACGCUGCAUACAGAAGAUUAACUUUAAAUGUGUUGUUCUCUCAUGUCACUGGCUGCCUCCUUUUUCUUGCUUUAAAAGGAAGGGCAGAUUUAGCAAAUUAAUCAUUUUUAAAACAAUGACACGUUGUUACAGCCUCUAUCUUACUGACUGUAUCUCAAAGCCAAGUAGCUCUCAUCUUUUUAGUCCCUUUUCCUUUCAGAGUCAGCACCUGACACCCUCCCUUUCGUGGAGACUUUCUUAAUCAUCUCUGAGAUAGGAUGAUCACUGAGCAGUGCAAGGAGUUGGUGGAGUUUCAUUUACAUAAGUAAUGCUGCUCACUGAGGUAUUUUCACUUACUUCCUCCUUCUCUUCGAUUCUUAUAUGCUGUUAAUCUUGCUCCACAUAUUUAACCCAUCUUUCUUUCUGGCUGGUUGUGGUUCUGUUUUGACCCAGUAGUCUGAAAAAGCAGUUCAGAUGAAUUAUCCCCGCUUACAUUUGUCCAGAAUGAUCUCCUUUCCAUGCUGAAUUACUAAAUAAUUCCAUACUAAAUUCCUAAGAUUGCUAAAUUCCCCCUAUAAUGAGGCUUCUUUGAAAUUCCUAUGACUUUUCUCUAAAACUGAUAUAAUUCUGUGCCAUCUCAUCACAGAUUGCAGUUUAGAGCCCCAGGAUAUAUUACUAAAAUUCUUUCCAAGUGAAAAAUCCACAUCCCUCCUCCACAUUCAGUUCUUAAUAAUUCUUUACAGGCUACAGUGAUUUUUCUGUUGGAGACUUUCUAAAUUCUGAUGGACAGAUUUUUAAACAGAAACUAUCCAAGGGUAAUUCACUCUACUGUGUGUUUAUCCAUGCAUCCGAUGCUAUAAAGUUCAGUCAGAUGAAAAUAUGAAGGUUGUGGGCAUGCCUACAGACCGAUGAAAAUAAUAAUGUUUGGCUGUGAUUUGGAUCACAACUGUGUUGCCCAGUUAUAUCAACGUAGUGUUGGUGAUUCUUAUCUAAGAAUUUAACACUGCCUUACAGCUUCUUCAGCAGAACUUAAUCUUUCCAUUAAACAUUUAUUUCCAUUUCCAUCUUGCAGUCUCCCUUUCAAUGUUUUUAGGUUCUGCAUGUGUAAUUGUGCGGGUUUUUUUCUCCUGUUUGGCUCUUCUACCACAUCCUGAAGACCUCUUGUGUUCAGUGUAUAUGAGGAGAUCAGUAAACACUGAGCAAAAAAAAGUUAGAAAGACUUUAAAGCAAAGCCAAUGCUGGCCUGAAUCUACAAUAAAAGAUGUCCUUUUCCUUCUGAUGCAGGAAAACUUGCAAUUCCUACGACACAGAGUUGACUUUGGCACACUGCACUGUACACUAUGGUAUUUAUAACAUCAAUAAAAUGUCACAGGGCUACAAUGUUUAGCUGGUUGUUGCUAAGCUUUUGCAUUCUGCUUUGUUUAGUAAUUUGAUCCCUCCUCUUACCCUUUUCAUUAAGUAGCAACUUUCUAGAGCAGAUGAUUGGGUCUCCCCAGCAAUCACUGGAAGCGAUUAAAUUGACGUCGUGGAAAAAUUGUUCAACAACAACAGUAAUCCCACAGCAGAGACAAACGGGUUGUGCUUAAGAUGAUGAGCAAAAACUUAGGGUUGAUUUUUUGAAAAGAAAUUCAAGACAUUACUGGAUUUCUACCUCUGUAGAAAUAGCAAAGGCUCCCAGUGUUUCAUGCAGAACUACAAGCUCACCUAGUAGUACACAGUACAAGCUCACACUGAAUACCAACCUCGUUGUAUAAAUCACUGAAUUCUUCAACCACAUCUUUUGGGAUCCUCUGCCCGUUGUUGGUAAGAUGAUAAGCCACCCCAUUCUUGGAGUAAAGACUGAUCCGGCCAACGCUUCUCUCACCAUCAGUAGUCUCUUCAAGUAAACCAUUGUCUUCUGCUAGAUGAUAGACUGGGUUUCCAUGCGAACCAUGAAUCCACGUAGCUCCCAGUUCAAAAGUGGCGUGCCCUGCAGGACAGUAAAUAAAGCACACCAGUUUUGGAAGCACAUUUUUUUGAAAGCAUGAAGGGACGCUUCCAACAAAGAUACAUUACAGUGACACUCCUCUGAUACUUAAGGUGAAAUACAGAAUCCUUUAGGUUCCCAGUUCCUACCAUCAUUGUUGUCAGCUGCUCUACCUUUGCUACCCUGCCUGUCUAAAUCAUCUCUCCUAAUCCUAAGACCUAAGAACACAACUGAACAGCAGAGGAUGUACUGCUCGUGUUGAAGUUUAAGCUGUGUUGAGAGCUGGGGAGGGAGGAAAAGCAAAGAGCUGUAAGGAGCCACGCUGCAACACUGCAAGAUAUGAGGACACAUAAGAAGAUAGUUACAUAAUACAGAAAGAGAAUCAAAGAAUCAUUAAGAUUGGAAAAGACCUCUAAGAUCAUCAAGUUCAACCAUCAACACUACCACCAUGCCCAAGUAUGAGAGAAAUAGCAUGUAUAGGUUACUUUCAGGUACCUGCUGUACUCUAAGGAGGGGAUAGAAGCCCAAACACAUGGAGAAAAAGCAACGACAGCAGGGAGCAGGAAGAAAAACUGGACUGCCUUGAGACAGCAAGACUGAUCUACAAACUGAACCCAUUCCCAUAAUUAAAAAUGAACGUUAUUUACAAACACGGUUUGUGUUACAUUUGGUUAAUACUCAGACCAAAUGAAAUAGAAAAAUGCAUUUCCAUUCCCCAAAUGAGGGAACAGAUGCCAUUUUACUACUGAUUCCCUUGAAAAUUUCUAUCAGGUUCUUUACAAGCUGCAGGUUAAGCAUCAAACACAUUUUGCCUUCAGCACUGCUAGCAAAACAGAAAGAGUUUGGUCAGUCCCACUGUCCUCCUUUCCUUUCGACUAACAGAGCCUGAACCAGCAUUGGGCUGAUGGCACAGGACAGUGUUCAGCAGCUGGAAGGAGGUGCUGAAAAUAAGCUGAGGUCACGUCUCUUACCCACAUUUCUACAGAUUCUCAGAAGUCCUGCAGCAAAGUUUAACAGAGCAGCGUCCCAGGCAACAGCACACUGUGCAGCUCACUCUGCAAAGGUGUGCAAAUGCCUCAUUAAGUGGGAUGCUAAUAGGAUCUGGCUCGAUAAAGGAAGGAUCAGGCAGUUAGCAGUCAUCAGAUACUGUUUAAGAUGGAAAUUGAUGCUCAGCUAGAAAGCCACUGCAGCACCACACUCACACAGUCAAGUUUAAUAGAUGAAAGCUCCAAGAAAUGUGGCUGAGGCAUUGCCUCAAAGAGAAACUCUACAUAUAAUCUCAUUUUUCUGAGCAGACAACAGCCUUGUCAUUGAACAGCACAACUUUCCUUCAGAAUACACAUCAGAAGACUUGAGUGCUACAAGUUCCUUACGUGCAUCCUUAUGUGUGUCUUAUGUGCUCCUAACACAAAGUGUGGGGUUCAGAGCGUGCAGCAUCCAGGCACAGAGAUGAAUACUGAAGACACUGCAAAUCCUAACACAGUCCCUGCACACCCAGCCUGGUGGAGACGACUGCUGCACAUUGGCAGCCAAAGGUACAAAGCUCAUAAAUAUUGCAUGUGGCAGUCACCUCAUUAAGGCAAUCCUCCUGCGAGUCAUCAAUGCCAGAUCAGUAGCAGGAAUAGUGCCUGCUGCGUUAUGUCAGGAGCUUGCUCUCUGCAGCACUAACAAUCUUCCUGCAUGGAGCUCUUAUUUAUGGGGGCAUCUGAGCUUCGAAAGAAGAUUGGUGCUCAGUUGCAUGAAUGAUGCACUGCUAUUUUCAGUAUUUGCACGGAAUGUCAUCAAAUACCAACACAUUGAAAAUAGUCAUUCUUGCCUGUGGGACUUAGAAAGGCACAAUCAUCUCCAAGUGGAUAAGCUAGUCGUUACCUAAUGUAAGUCACAUGAGCAAUUAUUUAAAAGUGUCACAUUAAAGAACACAUUUUUUAAGCAGAGAAAGUUAAUUUAUAGAAGAUUUUUUGUUUCAAUCUACUUGGAAUGAAUCCAUCCAUACAACAAAAAUAAAGUCUACUUCCUACUCUGCAAAUGAGAUUACUGAGACACAAGCAGCAGUCAAAACAGGCCUGUGCACAACAAUACACCAGAGCAGCAGCUUUCCAAAGGAAUGCACAGAUUGCAUAUCAAGCCUUCUGACUACGCACAGGAACUCUCCCAUUUCCCUUUGAAGCCCUGACUAUUCCUUGCGUAUCCUGUGGUGAAAUAUCUGCAGUGGGGACAGAUGUCAUGGUUCGUGUACAACAAACACACAGUCCAGAAACAGAAACCCUCUGCCUCACCUGUCCUAGAGGGUUCCCCUGUUCUGCUGAAGAUUUAAAGCAGAUCUUCAGACAAGGAGUGGCUAGGGAAGUGUAACAUUUAAAUGCUGUUCAGACAGAUGCAGAUCAAAGCAGUCACAUGUUGAAGACCCAGAAUAACCACUUUUGUAACCAUUUUUGGAAGUUUUGGACAAUUCACAAAAAUGAGCAGGUCUUGCAUGCCCCAGGUGCAAUCUUGCUGUUUGGAGCAGUGUGGAAUGGAAAAAAAAAUAGAACUCAAGAUUAUACUGACCUUUUGCCUUGUAUCAGCAAAUAGGGAGGUUGUGGGCACUGCUGCUGCUGAAGAGUUCACCACUCAACAUAGCUCCAAAAUCAUUUAGCUAAAGGGAAUGUGAAUCUGUAAAGCAUGCAAGGGGCCAGGACAUGCUCUCACCAUGGGAAAAAAUUGCAUGCAGUCAAUCCCUGAACAAUAUAAUCUUGGUACUUGAAAAAGAUCACUUGAGUUGGAAGGGAGCUUUAAAGAUCCGCUGUCUCUCUUUUGCAAU